This 478-nucleotide ribosomal RNA is filed under the name uncultured bacterium. RNAcentral describes it as "bacterial SSU rRNA". It matches the Rfam family "Bacterial small subunit ribosomal RNA", at positions 29 to 505 of the family's 1533-position model. The record is from RNAcentral.
GUUAACGCUGGCAGCGUGCAUAACACAUGCAAGUCGAACGAGACUAUCUGAGAUUAUAUCAAAGGUAGUUUAGUGGCAGACGAGUGAGUAACACGUAAGGAAUCUACCCCUAAGAAGGGAAUAACGCGCCGAAAGGCGCGCUAAUACCCUAUAUAAUCCCUUGACGGCAUCUUCGAGGGAUGAAAGACGUAAGUCACUCAGGGAUGACCUUGCGACCUAUCAGCUUGUUGGCGGGGUAAUGGCCCACCAAGGCGAUGACGGGUACCCGGCCUGAAAGGGCGAACGGGCACGGAGGCACUGAGACACGGGCCUCACUCCUACGGGAGGCAGCAGUGGGGAAUUUUGGACAAUGGGCGAAAGCCUGAUCCAGCAACGCUGCGUGAGGGAUGAAGGUCUUCGGAUCGUAAACCUCUUUUUUGGGGGACGAAUACCCGCAAGGGCUUGACGGUACUCCAAGAAUAAGCCACGGCUAAAUAUG